Molecule: ribosomal RNA, 309 nt
Filed under: Triticum aestivum (bread wheat)
Lineage: Eukaryota; Viridiplantae; Streptophyta; Magnoliopsida; Poales; Poaceae
Description: partial small subunit ribosomal RNA
Source: RNAcentral
AUGAUAGCUGGUGAUUUUAAUAAAAUCUUGUACUCUCAUGAAAAAGAGGGUGGCGCGCCGAGGCCAAUGCGCAUGAUGCAAAAUUUCCGUGAUGCUCUUGUUGACUGCGAGAUGGAGGACAUGGGAUGCAGCGGGGAUCUGUAUACUUGGAGGAGGAGGAGACUCAAAGAAUGGCUUGACAUAUCGGUGUGCAAUGGCCAGUUCCUUGGUCUCUUCCCAGACACAAAGGUCACAAAUACUGAUCAUAUAAAGUCGGAUCACACACCCCUUUUCAUUGAUACUGAGGGAGAUGUGCAGGUGGAUUCUUAG